CAGGGAAGUUGUGGAAACAUCAUCUGGAGCAUUAGGAUAUGGCGUGGCACAUUCAAAGGCUCAACAUUUAGUCAUUUAGAUUCUUAUUAAAGUUGUAAUUUCGUUUCCUAGAAGUCCUUAACUAGAAUUAGGUGUUUUGGACCCUUUUAGGGGCAAUUUUGUAAAAAACCCAUAUGUAGGACAUGUGCCUUUUAGGUUAGGAUUUUUAAUUGAUUGUGGACCCCAUUUGGAAGGCAACUCUAGGUAUUUGGAGGAGAAUUGCCGAAACACACUUAGGCUCUCAUUACAAACACUUCAUACUUUUGGUUUUAGAGUUUUUCUCUCUUAGGGUUUCUUGUAUGAACAUGCCUUGAAGGAGCUUGUCUUGGUGAUUUCGGUUUUGAGCCAUUUCAAUAAACAAGAUGCAGAUUUUCUUUGUUUCUUAACUCACUCUUGGUUAUCUUAGCUUGUUGGUGGUGAAAAACAAUUCAUUUCCACUUCCAUUUGCUUGUUUUUGAUGCUUGGAGCUUGAGCUUUGGAGCUUGUCUUUGCAUUUCCAUGGUGGAUGUUGGGUUUGAGUAACUUUAUAUUUCGUUUUCCUNNN
This 583-nucleotide long non-coding RNA is filed under the name Vigna radiata. RNAcentral's name for it is "long non-coding RNA (VRAD_LNC014174)". Lineage: Eukaryota; Viridiplantae; Streptophyta; Magnoliopsida; Fabales; Fabaceae. The record is from RNAcentral.